Molecule: ribosomal RNA, 306 nt
Filed under: uncultured beta proteobacterium
Lineage: Bacteria; Pseudomonadati; Pseudomonadota; Betaproteobacteria
Description: partial 16S ribosomal RNA
Rfam family: Bacterial small subunit ribosomal RNA
Source: RNAcentral
CAAUGGUCGGUACAGAGGGUUGCCAAGCCGCGAGGUGGAGCCAAUCCCAGAAAGCCGAUCGUAGUCCGGAUUGUUCUCUGCAACUCGAGAGCAUGAAGUCGGAAUCGCUAGUAAUCGCGGAUCAGCAUGUCGCGGUGAAUACGUUCCCGGGUCUUGUACACACCGCCCGUCACACCAUGGGAGUGGAAUCUGCCAGAAGUAGGUAGCCUAACCGCAAGGAGGGCGCUUACCACGGUGGGUUUCAUGACUGGGGUGAAGUCGUAACAAGGUAGCCGUAGGGGAACCUGCGGCUGGAUCACCUCCUUU